AAUUUUAUACUUUGAGGAGCCAUUUUCAUAGUUUGUCACCAGAGAAGUUUCUUUGAAUGUGGAAUGUACCAGAAAGCAUGAGGAGGAAGUAUAGUGCUCUCUCCUUAGCUGUGAAAUUGGCUCUGUGUUGCUUCAUUGCAACCGCCAUUUUUUGUUGAUGGCCAGUCUUCUCUUCCUUUGGGAGGGUAAUAAGGGGAGGAUGCAGUCUGAGUGGU
Callithrix jacchus (white-tufted-ear marmoset) is the source of this 215-nucleotide small nucleolar RNA. Its record names the gene U3. It matches the Rfam family "Small nucleolar RNA U3". From Rfam's summary of the family: Small nucleolar RNAs (snoRNAs) are involved in the processing and modification of rRNA in the nucleolus. NCBI's taxonomy places the organism in Eukaryota, Metazoa, Chordata, Mammalia, Primates, Cebidae. The record is from Ensembl.